This 24-nucleotide non-coding RNA is filed under the name Cricetulus griseus (Chinese hamster). Lineage: Eukaryota; Metazoa; Chordata; Mammalia; Rodentia; Cricetidae. The record is from RNAcentral.
CCUGGUGGGGCUGUUCGAGGACAC